UGCGCAGGCGGUUAUGCAAGACAGAUGUGAAAUCCCCGGGCUCAACCUGGGAACUGCAUUUGUGACUGCAUGGCUAGAGUACGGUAGAGGGGGAUGGAAUUCCGCGUGUAGCAGUGAAAUGCGUAGAUAUGCGGAGGAACACCGAUGGCGAAGGCAAUCCCCUGGACCUGUACUGACGCUCAUGCACGAAAGCGUGGGGAGCAAACAGGAUUAGAUACCCUGGUAGUCCACGCCCUAAACGAUGUCAACUGGUUGUUGGGAGGGUUUCUUCUCAGUAACGUAGCUAACGCGUGAAGUUGACCGCCUGGGGAGUACGGCCGCAAGGUUGAA
This 330-nucleotide ribosomal RNA is filed under the name uncultured bacterium. Its description in RNAcentral is "bacterial SSU rRNA". It matches the Rfam family "Bacterial small subunit ribosomal RNA", at positions 568 to 898 of the family's 1533-position model. The record is from RNAcentral. RNAcentral also lists the same sequence under 1 other name.